ACAGGUUUUUAUCUAAUAAUAAUAAAUAUCAAAAUCAAAAUCAAUGAAAGUUCAUUUGAUUACAGUACAUUCCAUUUGCAGAGAAGCCAAGAGGCACGUAAACCUAGGAACAAAGAGAGAAUAGAAAAGCCAUUGGGACAGAAAUGGCCUUGUCUGGUACAGUAUUACGCUUAUAGGAGAGAGUGACGUGUUUCCUCCACUACUUCUGGUUCCAUUCUGGAGUCAGAGGUCCAUUCAUUUCAAUGGAGCUUGUGUUUUGACUAUACAUAAUGCACGAAAACAAUCAAUAAUUUUGAGGAGGGUAGAUAUACAGAUAUUUUGCUCAUGGUUUUUAAAGCAGUGUGUCACUUCACCAUGUUUAUUCAUCUCAAAGUGCUUUAGAAAUGUGUUCCAUUGAAAUGAAUGGCUCUGGAAGUAGACAUAUGAAGACAGGUUAGAUUCACUACUUCUUGUUCUCCCAGCGUACCCAGCAAACAGGGGUCGUCCUGAGGACAUUCGACAACGUUCCCAUUAGUUCCCUUAAGGGUUUCGGCGCAAUGUUAUCCCACUGACGUUCUGAGAAUGUUCUAAGAAUGCUGUGUGAUGGUCCGAAGGGUAGUUCCCUGUAAGUUACCAGAACAUCACUGAAGACCCUGUCAGGACCAUGUUAGGACCUUUUUAGGACGUUCUCAGGACUUUCAUUUUACUAGUCCUUAGGAUGUUGCAUGAUGGUCCCAAGGGAAAGUUCUCUGGGGGACCUUUUUGUCGUUCCCGGGUUUGUGCCGUGGACGUUUUUAGCAAGUUCUUGGGAUGUUGUGUCAUGGUCCCCUGGAGAUCUUGUUCCCUUAGAGGUUUUUGUCACGUGAUGGUCCCAUGUGUCCCAAACCAUUAUAAGUAAAAAAAAUUGUAAAGGUAAGUGGUAACGCUGUUCAGCAAAAAUGAUGUACAAAUCUUUAAUCAAUGACAAUAUGAUUAGAUUUAACAUGAUCACUUAGUACUGACUUUCCAAUAUGACCCCACCUGGGAUUUGAACUCAGAACCUCUGGAUUUGGGGUAUGCUGAUCUUUCUGACACAAAAUCCCAAGAACGUCCUAAAAACGUCCUCAGGGUCAACUGGGAACUAGACAAAACCUCCCGGGAACCAUGACACAACAUCCCAAGAACGUCCUAAAAACAUCGUUUGGGAUGUCCCCGGGACCAACCGGGUACUAGACAAAACCUGAUGACGUCCUGAUGACUUUAGGCAUCCCGGGGACGUGCUAACGACUCAUUCUUGUUUGCAGGGCAGCCUACUCACCAACACAGCCACAUUCACCACCACAUACAAAGCUCCCCUCAAAGAAAGAGCAACCCUUACCCCUGCAGUCCACGAGGUACAAAAAUACAUCUUUAGUAUCGAUACAUUCAUAUCAUUUUUCUUCUUCUCUUGGUCUAUUGAAACGUGUAAAUAUUUCCUUUUAUUCUGAUUGGUCUCGGACAUGGAACUCCGAGGCAGUCUGUUACACAGGAGGAUGGUGGCACUUUAAUUGGGAGGACGGGCUCGUGUUAAUGGUCGGACUAGGAUAGGUGGAAUGGUAUCAAAUACACCAAACGCGUGGUUUCCAUGUGUUUCAUGCCAUUCCAUUCACUCCGUUACAGCCAUUAUUAUGAGCUAUCCUCUCCUCAGCAGCCUCCACUGAUCUCUUACCAAUGGGAGACGUAUUGGGAAAAUAUGCCUAAUAGGUCUAAUGAGUCAUUAACCAAUAACCUAUUGGGAUUGUGCUGCUGGCGUUUAACUACAGGGGUGUCUCUUGCUACUUGUGUCUAAAACUUGCCAAUGUUUUUAUAUCAAAAGACCCCGUCCCUAUAAAUAUGUGUUGAUAAAUGCCAAGUUCACUAAUUAAAGAAUGAACUGUGUUUCCUUUAAAUAGAUAAAUGGCAAGCUGGAUUUCCAUAGAGUGACAUGCAGCAUGUUAAUGUCUCUACAGGCACUACUCAAAAGGCUUAGAGAGGCAUGCACACAGACAGACAGACAGACAGACAGACAGACAGACAGACAGACAGAGAGAGAAAGAAAAUGACAGAGAAAGAAAGGGAGCGAUUUGCGUUGAGAAAGAAAGACCGAGAGUCGCCUCGCUGUGCACAGUAUGACAGACAACAGCAGGGGCUGUGUCGCUCCAGGCACACCCCGAGGGACCGCCACGAAAGACCAGACUCCAACAAUCCACCCUUUCUUUCUCACAGCAUAGCCUCAGUCCAUCCUAUACCCAUCAAACCAGCACCUACCUACCAGCCCCAAAACACCAGCACCUAGCAACCCACCAACCAGCCCCCCCAACCAGCCCAUACAAACCAGCCCCUACCAACUAGGACCUACCAACCCGUCAACCAGCCUUUACCAACCAGGCCCUAUCAACCCACCAGCCAGACCCUACCAAACCACCAACCAGCCCCUACCAACCAGAUCCUACAAACCCACCAACCAG
This is a long non-coding RNA of Oncorhynchus tshawytscha (Chinook salmon), 2444 nucleotides long. The record is from Ensembl. NCBI's taxonomy places the organism in Eukaryota, Metazoa, Chordata, Actinopteri, Salmoniformes, Salmonidae.